UGAUUGCUCCGAUGAUUCAGGCUGACAGUAUCUGAGUAAGUUAGCUCUUGAAAAAAGGCCUCAUUAAUUAAUUAAUAAACCUAAACUGAUCAUAUAUUCUAAGCAACA
Lolium rigidum is the source of this 108-nucleotide small nucleolar RNA. RefSeq annotates it as small nucleolar RNA Z118/Z121/Z120. The record is from RefSeq and is a predicted model, not a curated record. NCBI's taxonomy places the organism in Eukaryota, Viridiplantae, Streptophyta, Magnoliopsida, Poales, Poaceae. The transcript has a single exon.